This 469-nucleotide ribosomal RNA is filed under the name uncultured bacterium. Its description in RNAcentral is "bacterial SSU rRNA". It matches the Rfam family "Bacterial small subunit ribosomal RNA", at positions 917 to 1382 of the family's 1533-position model. The record is from RNAcentral.
GGGCCCGCACAAGCGGUGGAGCAUGUGGGUCAAUUGGAUGCUACGCCAAGAACCUUACCAGGGUUUGACAUGUUGGCGACCGCGUGAGAGAUCACGUUUCUCCCGCAAGGGAGCGCCAUCACAGGUGGUGCAUGGCUGUCGUCAGCUCGUGUCGUGAGAUGUUGGGUUAAGUCCCGCAACGAGCGCAACCCUCACCGGAUGUUGCCAUCGGUUCGGCCGGGCACUCUUCCGGAACUGCCUGAGCAAUCAGGAGGAAGGCGAGGACGACGUCAAGUCCGCAUGCCCCUUAUGCCCUGGGCUGCACACGUGCUACAAUGGCCGGUACAAAGGGCUGCGAAGCCGCGAGGUGGAGCCAAUCCCCCAAAACCGGUCCCAGUUCGGAUUGGAUGUCUGCAACUCGACUCCAUGAAGCUGGAAUCGCUAGUAAUCGCGGAUCAGCAACGCCGCGGUGAAUACGUUCUCGGGCCUU